This is a long non-coding RNA of Trachemys scripta elegans, 399 nucleotides long. RefSeq lists it as uncharacterized. The transcript is spliced from 3 exons. The record is from RefSeq and is a predicted model, not a curated record. Lineage: Eukaryota; Metazoa; Chordata; Testudines; Emydidae.
AUACUUUCAAAAAGUGUUGAUGAUCAUAAUCAUCCCAGCCUCCUUGUCGUCCUCCUGUUUGCUGAAGGAACCUUUCAAAUUCUACUACUUCUUCAGGAAACUUAAUGCUGGUGAAAAGAAUGUGACUGAGAGCCUUUGUUUUCAGUCCUGAAACAGGAUGUGCAAGGAUGAGCCUUUACAAUCUCAUGGAGUCUUGAAGAGUGGAGAUAUGUCAGUAUCAGGUGAAGUCAGUGGGACUCCUAGCAGAUUCACAGAAGGAUAGGCAGACUGGAGAAAGGACAUCCAGAGCCUGCACUGGUGGCAUAAGCAGAGACCUUCCCUGCAAGACAAUUAUCCAAGAAAAUUGAACUUUUGUCUAUAAAAGGCAAGUAUUUCAAACUCCAUCAACAAGACUUACAU